Molecule: long non-coding RNA, 718 nt
Organism: Pseudophryne corroboree (corroboree frog)
Lineage: Eukaryota; Metazoa; Chordata; Amphibia; Anura; Myobatrachidae
Exons: 2
Source: RefSeq, a predicted model, not a curated record
CAGUAGCGCACGCAGGGGGGGUUUCUGAGUACCCAGAAACCCCCCCACAGACUUUUUUUUUUUUUUUUGUCGGAGAUGGAGACAGCUUUGUCUCCGUCUCUGCACCAGCCCUGUGCCACCCGCAAUCGGAGGUCCCCGGCCACUGAUGGUUCAGCUGUCAGUGCUUCCGCGUCAGGUGACUUUUAUAUCCAAGCCGCCUGACGCGUCGCAGAGCACUGAUAGCCAAACAAGCAGUGGCCGGGGAGCUUCAGCGCGCCGCUAUCGCAGCUCCGAGGUUUAAGUGCUAGGGAAGAUAUGCCCCGGCAAGGUCCGCAGGGUUACGGAUGUCUGCCGCUACUGUAGCAGCUGUACACACACACAUCAAAGACAAGUUGCUCUAUGUGUCAAUUAACUGCCAGACAAGUCUGCAGUAGAGUCACCGCCUUUCACCAGAGUUCAUGUUCUCAGCUGAUUAGCUGACUGUACAGUACAGUAUUCUCAGAGAUGCCAUAUCAGGAUUCUUAUCUCAUUCUGGCCAGAGGAGUACAGGGAACUCCUAUGCCUCGCAGAUCAUGCUGAGAAAGGGGACAUUUAGACUGUUUGAGCCGGAUCAAGUGGCAAACAGGCAAUCUCAUUGCUUUAUAACGAAAUACUAAAGUCUAAGGAGAAUGUACUCAAUGAAAUAAAUACCAUGAAAGCAGAUAGCAAUAAAAGAAAAAUAAAGUUUACUUAACUUUUA